Molecule: small RNA, 160 nt
Filed under: Chrysemys picta bellii (western painted turtle)
Lineage: Eukaryota; Metazoa; Chordata; Testudines; Emydidae
Description: TUC338 (ENSCPBG00000024264.1)
Source: RNAcentral
UUGACAGCCAAGGAGAAUGAAGUCCUGCAUUUAUUCACAGGACAGGUACAGUGGCAGUAUAAGCUUUUCCUGCAGCUUUUGUGCCUCAGUUCUGAUGGGGGAGGGGGGGGGCGCUUUUAGGAAUAAGAGAUUGCAGCCUGAAUUUCUCAGCUGAGAUUGU